CAGUCGCCGCGGGAAUACGUAGGGUGCAAGCGUUAAUCGGAAUUACUGGGCGUAAAGCGUGCGCAGGCGGUCCGCUAAGACAGAUGUGAAAUCCCCGGGCUUAACCUGGGAACUGCAUUUGUGACUGGCGGGCUAGAGUAUGGCAGAGGGGGGUAGAAUUCCACGUGUAGCAGUGAAAUGCGUAGAGAUGUGGAGGAAUACCGAUGGCGAAGGCAGCCCCCUGGGCCAAUACUGACGCUCAUGCACGAAAGCGUGGGGAGCAAACAGGAUUAGAUACCCGGGUAGUCCCUGUCUCUUAUAC
RNAcentral lists this ribosomal RNA (301 nucleotides) under uncultured bacterium. RNAcentral describes it as "partial 16S ribosomal RNA". It matches the Rfam family "Bacterial small subunit ribosomal RNA", at positions 509 to 807 of the family's 1533-position model. The record is from RNAcentral.